UGGGGGGAUCCCGAAGGGAUCAUGGGAUAGUCCAUUCGUACUGGAAACAGCGCGUAUAGAAGAACCUCGAGAUGCGGGUUCAAGUCCCGCCCCCGCAA
RNAcentral lists this transfer RNA (98 nucleotides) under Patescibacteria group bacterium. Its description in RNAcentral is "tRNA-OTHER". The record is from RNAcentral.